This 863-nucleotide ribosomal RNA is filed under the name uncultured archaeon. RNAcentral describes it as "SSU rRNA". It matches the Rfam family "Archaeal small subunit ribosomal RNA", at positions 474 to 1337 of the family's 1478-position model. The record is from RNAcentral.
CACCAGCCCCUCGAGUGGUGGGGACUUUUAUUGGGCCUAAAGCGUCCGUAGCCGGCUAUAUCAGUUAUCCAUUAAAUCCAACGUCCCAAGCGUUGGACUGUGGGUAAUACCAUAUAGCUAGAGGGUGGGAAAGGUAAGCGUUAUUUCUGGGGUAGGGGCGAAAUCCUUUGAUCCCAGGAGGACCACCAGUGGCGAAGGCUGCUUACUUGAACACGCCUGACGGUCAGGGACGAAAGCUGGGGUAGCGAACCGGAUUAGAUACCCGGGUAGUCCCAGCUGUAAACGAUGCGCGCUAGGUGUUGGGUUGGCCACGUGCCGCCCCAGUGCCGCAGGGAAGCCGUUAAGCGCGCCGCCUGGGGAGUACGGCCGCAAGGCUGAAACUUAAAGGAAUUGGCGGGGGAGCACCACCAGGCGUGAAGCCUGCGGUUUAAUUGGAGUCAACGCCGGGAAUCUUACCGGGAUCGACAGCAGAGUGAAGGCCAGAUUAAAGGUCUUGCUAGACGAGCUGAGAGGAGGUGCAUGGCCGUCGUCAGUUCGUGCCGUGAGGUGUCCUCUUAAGUGAGGUAACGAACGAGACCCGCACCCCAUGUUGCCAACAGAGCCUAAAGGGCUGCUGAGCACUCUUGGGGGACCGCUGCCGACAAGGCUGAGGAAGGUACGGGCCACGGCAGGUCAGUAUGCCCCGAAUAUCCCGGGCCACACGCGGGCUGCAAUGGUAGGGACAGAGAGCUGCAACACCGAAAGGUGAAGCCAAUCCCUAAACCCUACCUCAGUUGGGAUCGAGGGCUGCAACCCGCCCUCGUGAACAUGGAAUGCCUAGUAACCGCGCGUCACCAUCGCGCAGUGAAUACGUCCCUGCUCCU